RNAcentral lists this ribosomal RNA (477 nucleotides) under Kirkaldyia deyrolli. RNAcentral's name for it is "partial 16S ribosomal RNA". It matches the Rfam family "Archaeal large subunit ribosomal RNA", at positions 1888 to 2611 of the family's 2987-position model. Lineage: Eukaryota; Metazoa; Arthropoda; Insecta; Hemiptera; Belostomatidae. The record is from RNAcentral.
UCGCCUGUUUAACAAAAACAUGUCCUUUUGGUAUUUAUUUAAGGUCUAACCUGCCCAAUGAUUUUUCAAUGGCCGCGGUAAUUUGACCGUGCAAAGGUAGCAUAAUCACUUGUCUCUUAAUUGGAGGCUAGAAUGAAUGGUUGGACGAGAUAUAUACUUUCUUUUUUGUAUUAUAUUGAAUUUAAUUUUUGAGUCAGAAAGCUUAAAUUUUUUUAUAGGACGAGAAGACCCUGUAGAAUUUUAUAUUGAAUUAAUUUUAGUGUUUUUUGUUUAUUAUUGGCUCUUUCUUUAUUUUAGUAUUUUGUUGGGGCGACAGGAAGAUUUAUUUAACUCUUUUUUUUUUAUUCAUUGAUUUAUGUUUUAUUUUUGAUCCUUUAUUAAAGAUUAAAAGAUUAAAUUACCUCAGGGAUAACAGCGUAAUCCUUUUGGAAAGUUCUUAUCGAUAAAAGGGUUUGCGACCUCGAUGUUGGAUUAAAA